GAUGAACGCUGGCGGCGUGCCUAAUACAUGCAAGUCGAGCGAACGGACGAGAAGCUUGCUUCUCUGAUGUUAGCGGCGGACGGGUGAGUAACACGUGGAUAACCUACCUAUAAGACUGGGAUAACUUCGGGAAACCGUAGCUAAUACCGGAUAAUAUUUUGAACCGCAUGGUUCAAAAGUGAAAGACGGUCUUGCUGUCACUUAUAGAUGGAUCCGCGCUGCAUUAGCUAGUUGGUAAGGUAACGGCUUACCAAGGCAACGAUGCAUAGCCGACCUGAGAGGGUGAUCGGCCACACUGGAACGGAGACACGGUCCAGACUCCUGCGGGAGGCAGCAGUAGGGAAUCUUCCGCAAUGGGCGAAAGCCUGACGGAGCAACGCCGCGUGAGAGAUGAAGGUCUUCGGAUCGUAAAACUCUGUUAUUAGGGAAGAACAUAUGUGUAAGUAACUGUGCACAUCUUGACGGUACCUAAUCAGAAAGCCACGGCUAACUACGUG
RNAcentral lists this ribosomal RNA (497 nucleotides) under uncultured bacterium. Its description in RNAcentral is "partial 16S ribosomal RNA". It matches the Rfam family "Bacterial small subunit ribosomal RNA", at positions 28 to 507 of the family's 1533-position model. The record is from RNAcentral.